The sequence is a small nuclear RNA, 155 nucleotides long. Its record names the gene U1. It matches the Rfam family "U1 spliceosomal RNA". Rfam says of the family: U1 is a small nuclear RNA (snRNA) component of the spliceosome (involved in pre-mRNA splicing). The record is from Ensembl.
AUACUACCCUGGCGUGAGAUACCCUAAUAAAAUCGGGUUUCACCCAUAGUAGGCUCGUCUUGACUGAGGUUGUCUGACACGCGCGCUCCCCCAAAUGUAGGAAUCUCGAUUGCAUAAUUUCUGGUAGUGGGGGACUGCGUUCGCGCUCUCCCCUG